This 423-nucleotide ribosomal RNA is filed under the name uncultured bacterium. Its description in RNAcentral is "bacterial SSU rRNA". It matches the Rfam family "Bacterial small subunit ribosomal RNA", at positions 378 to 793 of the family's 1533-position model. The record is from RNAcentral.
CAAGCCUGAUGCAGCCAUGCCGCGUGUAUGAAGAAGGCCUUCGGGUUGUAAAGUACUUUCAGCAGUGAGGAAGGCAGGUUCGUUAAUAGCGUGCUUGUUUGACGUUAGCUGCAGAAGAAGCACCGGCUAACUCCGUGCCAGCAGCCGCGGUAAUACGGAGGGUGCGAGCGUUAAUCGGAAUUACUGGGCGUAAAGCGCAUGCAGGUGGUUCGUUAAGUCAGAUGUGAAAGCCCGGGGCUCAACCUCGGAAUUGCAUUUGAAACUGGCGGACUAGAGUACUGUAGAGGGGGUAGAAUUUCAGGUGUAGCGGUGAAAAUGCGUAGAGAUCUGAAGGAAUACCGGUGGCGAAGGCGGCCCCCUGGACAGAUACUGACACUCAGAUGCGAAAGCGUGGGGAGCAAACAGGAUUAGAUACCCUGGUAG